RNAcentral lists this ribosomal RNA (253 nucleotides) under uncultured bacterium. RNAcentral describes it as "partial 16S ribosomal RNA". It matches the Rfam family "Bacterial small subunit ribosomal RNA", at positions 524 to 776 of the family's 1533-position model. The record is from RNAcentral.
UACGUAGGGUGCAAGCGUUGUCCGGAUUCAUUGGGCGUAAAGGGUGUGUAGGUGGCGCCGUAAGUCGGGUGUGAAAUCUCGGGGCUUAACUCCGAAACUGCAUUCGAUACUGCGGUGCUUGAGGACUGGAGAGGAGACUGGAAUUCAUGGUGUAGCAGUGAAAUGCGUAGAGAUCAUGAGGAAGACCAGUGGCGAAGGCGGGUCUCUGGACAGUUCCUGACACUGAGACACGAAGGCCAGGGGAGCAAACGGG